This 25-nucleotide ribosomal RNA is filed under the name uncultured Glomus. Its description in RNAcentral is "partial 28S ribosomal RNA". The record is from RNAcentral. Lineage: Eukaryota; Fungi; Glomeromycota; Glomeromycetes; Glomerales; Glomeraceae.
GACCUCAAAUCCGGAGCAGCCCACC